UAUUUUUCCGUUACUCCAGCACCUCAAGCAAUAAUGCGUUGCUAAAUAAACUGCCCUCCUAGGCGUUACGAUUGCAGCCUGAUUCCAAGGUGCCAUCGUUUGCAGUGGAGGGCCACAGCU
This 120-nucleotide small nucleolar RNA is filed under the name Drosophila mojavensis. Its description in RNAcentral is "snoRNA:GI25391". Lineage: Eukaryota; Metazoa; Arthropoda; Insecta; Diptera; Drosophilidae. The record is from RNAcentral.